Pelobates cultripes (western spadefoot toad) is the source of this 937-nucleotide non-coding RNA. NCBI's taxonomy places the organism in Eukaryota, Metazoa, Chordata, Amphibia, Anura, Pelobatidae. The record is from the annotation of a GenBank genome assembly.
GGCCUCCUUAAAGCCCAGCAGGUGGCCAUCACCAAAGAUGCUAGUGGGUACACCUUCUGGUAUAAUUCAUCAUGUACCCAUGUGGCUACAUUCACUUUUGAUUACUGUGAUAUUGUAGAGUGCCCAUUCCCUAAGUCACAGAUUCAAGCCAUUUAUAAAGAUAUACCACAAGCAAAAGACCCUUACGUUUGUGUAGUAGAUGAACAAUGGGGUUGUGACUGUAACUACUGGGGGGCUGCGGGAUGGAAUACUGGGCCUGCCUGGGGUUAUAAACCCAAAAGUGCUUUAUCCAAGAUAGACAAUCAGGGUAGAUCCCUCCUUCAAAGAAUGACUUUAAGAAAGCCUGGAGGAAGUACCCCUAUGAAAUUAAUGUUAAAUAUUGAACAUCCUGGCCCCGAGGAUGCAGACCGAUAUGUAAUGGGAAUGUAUUGGAAGAAAGGUUCCUACAACAAAUCAGGUCAUUUCUACCUCAGAGAUAUGUCCCACUCUCCAGAGUGGCAAGGGGCUGAUCAUAUGGUCCCAAAUCCGCUAAAACCACAUAUCCAGUCCUUUAAAGAUAUGAUGGCCAUCGCUAACCCCACUUUUGAAGAUAUCAUGGCCGCUGAAACUGGAUUCAAUGACAUUAAUUUGUGGUUAGAAUGGAUGAGGUAUAAUGCUAACAAACAUAAUAAAACAGCAUGUUAUGUAUGUGGCGGUGCCCGACCCCACCUUGGCACCGUCCCCCUAAUUCUCCCUUUAGAGAUAGAAGAUUGCUUCUUAAGCCUUUUUGCCUACCAAUAUGACUUUAAUAGGUCCCUCUACAUGGCAUGGACGGCAGAAUACCCUCUCUUAGUUGAAAAUGUUAAGCCACCAGAUGGAGUCACAGUCUAUAGAGGUAAUUACACUUGUUAUGCCAUGUAUGACGGGAUUGGUAAAUUCAUGGGUAACUUUUCUAAAG